UUGCAACGGAUAAUCCGUUGCAAAUUAAAUUAAAAAUUGCAACGGAUUUUCUGUUGCAC
This 59-nucleotide small RNA is filed under the name Salix viminalis (osier). The record is from RNAcentral. Lineage: Eukaryota; Viridiplantae; Streptophyta; Magnoliopsida; Malpighiales; Salicaceae.